UUGAACGCUGGCGGAAUGCUUUACACAUGCAAGUCGAGCGGCAGCGCGGGGCAACCUGGCGGCGAGCGGCGAACGGGUGAGUAAUAUAUCGGAACGUACCCUGUCGUGGGGGAUAACUAAUCGAAAGGUUAGCUAAUACCGCAUACGACCUGAGGGAGAAAGCGGGGGCUCGCAAGACCUCGCGCGAUUGGAGUGGCCGAUAUCUGAUUAGCUAGAUGGUGAGGUAAAGGCUCACCAUGGCGACGAUCAGUAGCUGGGCUGAGAGGAUGAGCAGCCACACUGGGACUGAGACACGGCCCAGACGCCUACGGGAGGCAGCAGUGGGGAAUUUUGGACAAUGGGCGAAAGCCUGAUCCAGCCAUGCCGCGUGAGUGAAGAAGGCCUGCGGGUUGUAAAGCGCUGUCGGCAGGAACGAAACGGUGGGGUCUAAUACGACUGACGAAUGACGGUACCUGAAGAAGAAGCACCGGCUAACUACGU
RNAcentral lists this ribosomal RNA (480 nucleotides) under uncultured bacterium. RNAcentral's name for it is "bacterial SSU rRNA". It matches the Rfam family "Bacterial small subunit ribosomal RNA", at positions 29 to 506 of the family's 1533-position model. The record is from RNAcentral.